RNAcentral lists this long non-coding RNA (278 nucleotides) under Salvia miltiorrhiza (redroot sage). RNAcentral describes it as "long non-coding RNA (SMIL_LNC014146)". The record is from RNAcentral. Lineage: Eukaryota; Viridiplantae; Streptophyta; Magnoliopsida; Lamiales; Lamiaceae.
GGAUGUGAAAUUGAGAAUAAUGUCCAUUGAUAAGGAUUGGAGAAAAUAGAAAUGGUCGUGUGGAAACUUUUUUUUUUUUUUUUUCAGAUGUGUAAAGUUGAGGAAGACAGCCUGGCAAUUAAAUUUCAUAGCUGGAAAUAGUCAAUUUACCAUAAUCAUGAAUAUAUAUAUCAAGCUCAAAACUCUUAUUAAUCUAAAAUUUUGUUUUAAUUUAAUCCUACUUGCAUGUGGAAACUUGUCAAAGUCAAACUUGUGGAGUUAGGUUGGAAUAUUUCAAG